This 335-nucleotide ribosomal RNA is filed under the name Staphylococcus aureus. RNAcentral describes it as "bacterial SSU rRNA". It matches the Rfam family "Bacterial small subunit ribosomal RNA", at positions 1 to 324 of the family's 1533-position model. Lineage: Bacteria; Bacillati; Bacillota; Bacilli; Caryophanales; Staphylococcaceae. The record is from RNAcentral.
UUUUAUGGAGAGUUUGAUCCUGGCUCAGGAUGAACGCUGGCGGCGUGCCUAAUACAUGCAAGUCGAGCGAACGGACGAGAAGCUUGCUUCUCUGAUGUUAGCGGCGGACGGGUGAGUAACACGUGGAUAACCUACCUAUAAGACUGGGRUAACUUCGGGAAACCGGAGCUAAUACCGGAUAAUAUUUUGAACCGCAUGGUUCAAAAGGGAAAGACGGUCUUGCUGUCACUUAUAGAUGGAUCCGCGCUGCAUUAGCUAGUUGGKAAGGUAACGGCUUACCAAGGCAACGAUGCAUAGCCGACCUGAGAGGGUGAUCGGCCACACUGGAACUGAGA